This 254-nucleotide ribosomal RNA is filed under the name uncultured bacterium. RNAcentral describes it as "partial 16S ribosomal RNA". It matches the Rfam family "Bacterial small subunit ribosomal RNA", at positions 524 to 776 of the family's 1533-position model. The record is from RNAcentral.
UACGGGGGGAGCAAGCGUUGUUCGGACUUACUGGGCGUAAAGGGCGCGUAGGCGGUCGUGACAAGUCACUUGUGAAAUCUCCGGGCUUAACUCGGAACGGUCAAGUGAUACUGUCGGACUAGAGUACAGAAGGGGCAACUGGAAUUCUCGGUGUAGCGGUGAAAUGCGUAGAUAUCGAGAGGAACACCUGCGGCGAAGGCGGGUUGCUGGGCUGAUACUGACGCUGAGGCGCGAAAGCCAGGGGAGCGAACGGG